This 861-nucleotide long non-coding RNA is filed under the name Homo sapiens (human). Its description in RNAcentral is "novel transcript". The record is from RNAcentral. Lineage: Eukaryota; Metazoa; Chordata; Mammalia; Primates; Hominidae.
CGCUCGCGCCUCUCCCUCCACACCUCUCUGCAAGCUGAGGGAGCCGGCUUCGGCCUUGGCCGGCCCAGAAAGGGGCUCCCACAGUGCAGCGGCGGGCUGAAGGGCUCCUCAAGUGCCGCCAAAGUGGGAGCCCAGGCAGAGGAGGCGCCGAGAGCGAGCGAGGGCUGUGAGGGCUGCCCUCAUGCUGUCACCUCUCACCUGGGUCUGGAGCUGCAGCUGUGCCCAGAAGUGUGGGCUCCCGCUGGCCUUGUGGAGCGCACAACUCUGGCCACACCCCCCACUUCAGCCAGUUUCUUCUCAGCAGCCACUCCAGAGGGACCACCUCUGGCAUCUUAAAUACAUUACCAGCUCUGCUCCAAGAUUUUUUCUCCCUGGGAUCAGGCUGGAGUGCAGUGGCAUGAUCAUAGCUCACUGUAACCCCCAACUCCUGGGCUCAAGCAAUUCCCUCCUCAGCCUCCUGAGUGGCUAGAACUUCAGGGAUGUGUCACCACACCCAGGUCUAAGUCAUCAGAAAAGAACAUUAGAACAUUCUCACAGAGCCUUACAAUCUGAAAACCCACUGCCUUUCGAAAGGAUCAGGCAAGUGGUUGGACUAAAUUACAUUCCCGCUGACAGUACGAAUUUGGAAUAGAGAUGUACAAAGACACGAGGGAAAUGCUUGGAAGCUCUCAAGUGCGGAGAAUUCUUUGCACAGACUCCCUCUCUCUGCACAGAUGAACACCAUGAGCUUGCUGGAAGGGGUUCAAAGAACAGCCCACAGCAGCACUCGAGUUUGCUAAAGUGACUGACGUUGGCUUCAGUUUGGAAUCCAAAGGCGACAACUGACAAGGAAGAGCGGAAGGGAAGGGAGAAGUGAGAUUU